Molecule: ribosomal RNA, 606 nt
Filed under: uncultured Gammaproteobacteria bacterium
Lineage: Bacteria; Pseudomonadati; Pseudomonadota; Gammaproteobacteria
Description: bacterial SSU rRNA
Rfam family: Bacterial small subunit ribosomal RNA
Source: RNAcentral
UGAGACACGGUCCAGACUCCUACGGGAGGCAGCAGUGGGGAAUAUUGGACAAUGGGCGAAAGCCUGAUCCAGCCAUGCCGCGUGUGUGAAGAAGGUCUUCGGAUUGUAAAGCACUUUAAGUUGGGAGGAAGGGCAGUUACCUAAUACGUGAUUGUUUUGACGUUACCGACAGAAUAAGCACCGGCUAACUCUGUGCCAGCAGCCGCGGUAAUACAGAGGGUGCAAGCGUUAAUCGGAAUUACUGGGCGUAAAGCGCGCGUAGGUGGUUCGUUAAGUUGGAUGUGAAAUCCCCGGGCUCAACCUGGGAACUGCAUUCAAAACUGUCGAGCUAGAGUAUGGUAGAGGGUGGUGGAAUUUCCUGUGUAGCGGUGAAAUGCGUAGAUAUAGGAAGGAACACCAGUGGCGAAGGCGACCACCUGGACUGAUACUGACACUGAGGUGCGAAAGCGCGGGGAGCAAACAGGAUUAGAUACCCUGGUAGUCCACGCCGUAAACGAUGUCAACUAGCCGUUGGGAGCCUUGAGCUCUUAGUGGCGCAGCUAACGCAUUAAGUUGACCGCCUGGGGAGUACGGCCGCAAGGUUAAAACUCAAAUGAAUUGACGGGG